RNAcentral lists this ribosomal RNA (300 nucleotides) under uncultured Lachnospiraceae bacterium. RNAcentral's name for it is "bacterial SSU rRNA". It matches the Rfam family "Bacterial small subunit ribosomal RNA", at positions 114 to 412 of the family's 1533-position model. The record is from RNAcentral. Lineage: Bacteria; Bacillati; Bacillota; Clostridia; Lachnospirales; Lachnospiraceae.
CGCGUGGGUAACCUGCCCUACACUGGGGGACAACAGUUGGAAACGACUGCUAAUACCGCAUAAGCAUAUAGUACCGCAUGGUACAGUAUGAAAAACUACCGGUGGUGUAGGAUGGACCCGCGUCUGAUUAGCUAGUUGGUGAGGUAAUGGCUCACCAAGGCGACGAUCAGUAGCCGGCCUGAGAGGGUGGACGGCCACAUUGGGACUGAGACACGGCCCAAACUCCUACGGGAGGCAGCAGUGGGGAAUAUUGCACAAUGGGGGAAACCCGUGAUGCAGCGACGCUGCGUGAAGGAAGAA